GAAAACUUUUCCUAAAAGGAGAUUCAAAGCAUGACUUUUUUGUUUGUUGUGUUUUUGUUUUGUGUGUGUAUGUUGUUUGUUGUUGUUGUUUUGUGUGUGUGUUUGUGUGUAUUUAUUUUUUUUUUAUUAUUUGUUUUGCUUUUACCUUGGAAAGAAGGAAAGAGAUAAGAUGGGAAAAACUCUCUGUGAACUAGUGAGGAAAAUCAAAGAAAACAGCAAAAACAGGACAUCUGAGAACUUGGAUUUUUCCUGACUCACAGCAUAAAGAAGGGGAGACUUUCCACAUAGCUAGAAGUUAGAAAACUUUGAAAUAAUGAAACCUAUAUUUUUUCACAUUAGAAAAAAGUUAGAUCAUGGAUCCAUGAACACAUGUAAUUGAUUAGGCCAGGGAUAGCCAGUCUUUCAUUUACAGACCUGUUAUUCAUAAAUGGAAGAAAUAAGAGAAAAAAGUGACAGAUUGUACCCUUGCUAGCUCUUAGAGCCCUCAGAGCCUUUUCUGAAAAAUAUGGGAUUAUAGAAGACUUGGUUCAGACUUUCGGCUCAUGAUUAUUGUCAAAUAAAGUCAGUUUGUACAGUCCCAAGUACAUGGGACAAGGGCUUGCUCUUCUCAGUGUCCACAAGUAUGUCUGUUGUCAGGGGACACCAUGGCAACAAGCAGUGCUGUGACCAUAUGGCAGAGGUCCCAGUGCAGAAGGGAGCGUAGCCAGACUCUCCCUGCUCUUGGCCAACAUUUCAUGCUGGACAAGGUUGUUACACUGUUUGCCAAAUCUGUAUUUCCCCCUUUGGAUUUACCACCUCUGAAGGAGUAUGGUAAAUUAUCUGAUGACAUGGGCUAUCAACAUGAGAAUACAGUUCUUGAAAAUGAUCUCAGAUACUUACCUUCCAGAGAAAACAUUGGACUUCAGUGUGUAUAAAGUAAAAUUUGCAUGUAAUACAUGCAGAAUUUGCAAGAUUAUGCUGUCUACAUGAUAAUCAGUUAAGUCACAUAGUGACACCAUUCUUAUUGAAAAGAAGUAGGAGACAAGUAAGAAAACUAGAAGAAUCAAUAUAAAUUUAUUUAUUUAUUCCAUCACAGCUUCUUAUCUUCUGCAAAGUCCCAGUGUUCUAUGUUCAUGUUCUGUGAUCAUACUCUCUGGAAUCUGAAGUAAAUGCAACUUGAAACUACUUUGUGUACAUUAGUAUCCAACAUUAUGUACAGUAACUGAAGAGCCUACAGUCUGUAGACAUUUAAAAGCAAAACAGUUUGUUCAUGCAGUUUGUUCAGUUUGUUUUUGAACAUUUUGUUCAUCUUUGGACAGGCAGCAAAAAAAAAAAAAUAAAUAUAUAUAUAUAUAUAUAAA
Molecule: long non-coding RNA, 1340 nt
Filed under: Anas platyrhynchos platyrhynchos (common mallard)
Lineage: Eukaryota; Metazoa; Chordata; Aves; Anseriformes; Anatidae
Description: lncRNA (ENSAPLG00000021057.1)
Source: RNAcentral